GCCAACACUAGCCCCAAGCAUAAUCAACACUAAUAACAAACCAACACACACUAAACCAUUCACCCAUACAAAGUAUAGGCGAUAGAAAUUUUAAUCUGGCGCUAUAGAUAUAGUACCGCAAGGGAAAGAUAAAAACCACCCAAGCACAAAACAGCAAGGACUAGCCCCUGUACCUUUUGCAUAAUGGAUUAGCUAGAAACAAUUUUACGAAGAGAACUACAAGCCAAAUUCCCCGAAACCAGACGAGCUACCCAAAAACAGCUAAAAGAGCACACCCAUCUAUGUGGCAAAAUAGUGGGAAGAUUUUUAGGUAGAGGUGACAAGCCUACCGAGCCUGGUGAUAGCUGGUUAUCCAAGACAGAAUCUUAGUUCAACCUUAAGCUUACCUACAGAACUUCCUAAUCUCCCUGUAAGCUUAAUUGCUAGUCCAAAGAGGGACAGCUCUUUAGACACUAGGAAAAAACCUUACAGAGAGAGUAAAACCCCUCAAUUACCAUAGUUGGCUUAAAAGCAGCCAUCAAUUAAGAAAGCGUUCAAGCUCAACAUUUACGAUCUCAAAAAUACCAAACACAUAACUGAACUCCUCACAUCACAUUGGAUUAAUCUAUCACCAUAUAGAAGCAAUAAUGCUAGUAUAAGUAACAUGAAUACUUUCUCCACCGCAUAAGCCUAAAUCGGACCGAAAGCCUCACCGACACUUAACAGCCAGGCACAGCAAACACAAACAAGCCCAUGCUACCUUCACUGUUAACCCAACACUGGCAUGCCUCAAGGAAAGGUUAAAAAAAGUAAAAGGAACUCGGCAAACUCAAACCCCGCCUGUUUACCAAAAACAUCACCUCUAGCAUUACUAGUAUUAGAGGCACUGCCUGCCCGGUGACAUACGUUUAACGGCCGCGGUACCCUGAC
This 909-nucleotide ribosomal RNA is filed under the name Macaca silenus (liontail macaque). Its description in RNAcentral is "partial 16S ribosomal RNA". The stretch from base 146 to 909 matches the Rfam family "Bacterial large subunit ribosomal RNA", at positions 566 to 1898 of the family's 2925-position model. Lineage: Eukaryota; Metazoa; Chordata; Mammalia; Primates; Cercopithecidae. The record is from RNAcentral.